This 253-nucleotide ribosomal RNA is filed under the name uncultured bacterium. RNAcentral's name for it is "partial 16S ribosomal RNA". It matches the Rfam family "Bacterial small subunit ribosomal RNA", at positions 524 to 776 of the family's 1533-position model. The record is from RNAcentral.
UACGAAGGCCCCAAGCGUUAUCCGGAAUUACUGGGCGUAAAGCGUUCGUAGGUGGGUGAACAAGUCAGAUGUGAAAGGUCCGGGCUCAACCCGGUACUUGCAUCCGAAACUAUUCAUCUUGAAUGAGGGAGAGGUAAGCGGAACGGUAUGAGUAGGGGUGCAAUCCGUUGAUACAUACCAGAACACCAAAAGCGAAGGCAGCUUACUGGAACUCUAUUGACACUGAGGAACGAAAGCGUGGGGAGCGAAAAGG